GACGAACGCUGGCGGCGUGCUUAACACAUGCAAGUCGAGCGGAAAGGCCCUUCGGGGUCCUCGAGCGGCGAACGGGUGAGUAACACGUGAGUAACCUGCCCCAGACUUUGGGAUAACCCUCGGAAACGGGGGCUAAUACCGGAUACGACACAGCUUCGCAUGGGGUCUGUGUGGAAAGUUUUUCGGUUUGGGAUGGGCUCGCGGCCUAUCAGCUUGUUGGUGGGGUGAUGGCCUACCAAGGCGACGACGGGUAGCCGGCCUGAGAGGGCGACCGGCCACACUGGGACUGAGACACGGCCCAGACUCCUACGGGAGGCAGCAGUGGGGAAUAUUGCACAAUGGGCGGAAGCCUGAUGCAGCGACGCCGCGUGAGGAAUGACGGCCUUCGGGUUGUAAACCUCUUUCAGCAGGGACGAAGCGUAAGUGACGGUACCUGCAGAAGAAGCGCCGGCCAACUACGUG
Molecule: ribosomal RNA, 462 nt
Filed under: uncultured bacterium
Lineage: Bacteria
Description: partial 16S ribosomal RNA
Rfam family: Bacterial small subunit ribosomal RNA
Source: RNAcentral